ACAUGAUAUUGUUGUUUGUUGGAUAAACAUUAUUUCAUGGGUUGAGAAGUUUUCUGUUUUCUUGGAUUACUUUAUGACUCAAAAUUUUCAUUCUGUAGACUGACUGCAUUGCUAGAAUCUCACCUAAAGAUGGUACUUUGCUUGGAUGGGUUCUUCUUCAAAAUUUAAGGGAAAAUUUGGUACAAGCUGGGAAUAAUGGUAUUGAUGUUUUAAAUGGCAUAGCCUGGGACAGUGCUAAAAAGCGCAUCUUUGGUAAGCUCCAAUGUUUGAUAUGAUUGCUCUAAAGUCAGC
This is a long non-coding RNA of Quercus robur (English oak), 291 nucleotides long. RefSeq lists it as uncharacterized. The record is from RefSeq and is a predicted model, not a curated record. The transcript is spliced from 3 exons. Lineage: Eukaryota; Viridiplantae; Streptophyta; Magnoliopsida; Fagales; Fagaceae.